Non-coding RNA from Monascus purpureus, 96 nucleotides. Lineage: Eukaryota; Fungi; Ascomycota; Eurotiomycetes; Eurotiales; Aspergillaceae. The record is from the annotation of a GenBank genome assembly.
GGGGCUAUGGCGAAGUUGGGAUCGCGUUCGACUGAAGGACCAUCAAUCCCCCUUCAGAUUAUCGGAAGAUCGCCGGUUCGAUCCCGGCUGGCCCCA